Molecule: long non-coding RNA, 404 nt
Filed under: Solanum tuberosum (potato)
Lineage: Eukaryota; Viridiplantae; Streptophyta; Magnoliopsida; Solanales; Solanaceae
Description: long non-coding RNA (STUB_LNC008952)
Source: RNAcentral
UCUCUUGCUAUUGAUGAAGGUUUGAUAUAUUCUGAAAUUAGUUCAAAUUCAUUAAUGUCAUGACCCAUUGAAUGAAGAAUAUCAUUAAUAUAAUUUAAUACUUUAUAACGUAUUUCUCUUACAUUUAUGUUCAAACUUUUUUUGAAAUCUUCAGACAUUGGGCUUUCAAAUCUUUCCCAUAAUUCUCUAGGAUUUUUUGGAUUACAAUAAAUCAAUAACAUAGCAAAUGAUUGUCUUAAACUGGAUGGCAUUUGAUAACUUGCAGCUUCAGCCAUGCAUUCUACCAAAUUAUUAUCACAAAGUAAUAGUUCUCUUUUUUCUGCAGCUUCUCUAAAUGAAUUAUAAUGUACUCAAUUCACAGUUCGCAGAUCUUCAUAUGAUUUUGGCCCUCUUACGUUCAUUAA